CAAAGUAACCCCAUUUUACGGUACUGAAAUUGGAACGAUACAGAGAAGAUUAGCAUGGCUCCUGCGCAAGGAUGACACGCAAAAUCGUGAAACGUUCCAUAUUUUU
Molecule: small nuclear RNA, 106 nt
Filed under: Diabrotica virgifera virgifera (western corn rootworm)
Lineage: Eukaryota; Metazoa; Arthropoda; Insecta; Coleoptera; Chrysomelidae
Source: RNAcentral